GACCUCGGCAGGACGUGGAACGGCGACCGCGUCGACGCCGAGGUGCGGCGGCGCUUCGGCGUGACGCUGCGGCUGAUCGUGCUCGGCCUCGUGCUCG
Molecule: transfer RNA, 97 nt
Filed under: Sphaerisporangium krabiense
Lineage: Bacteria; Bacillati; Actinomycetota; Actinomycetes; Streptosporangiales; Streptosporangiaceae
Description: tRNA-Val
Source: RNAcentral